UCGAGAAUCUUCGGCAAUGGGCGCAAGCCUGACCGAGCGACGCCGCGUGUGGGAUGAAGGCCCUUGGGUUGUAAACCACUGUCAGAGGGGAUGAAAUGCGGGAGAGUUAUCUCUUCCGUUUGACAUAGCCUCAGAGGAAGCACGGGCUAAGUUCGUGCCAGCAGCCGCGGUAAUACGAACUGUGCAAACGUUAUUCGGAAUCACUGGGCUUACAGGGUGCGUAGGCGGCCAGACAAGUAGGGUGUGAAAGCCCCCGGCUUAACCGGGGAAUGGCGCCCUAAACUGUAUGGCUGGAGUGAGAUAGGGGUGUGCGGAACUUCCGGUGGAGCGGUGAAAUGUGUUGAUAUCGGAAGGAACGCCGGUGGCGAAAGCGGCACACUGGAUCUCAACUGACGCUGAGGCACGAAAGCCAGGGGAGCGAACGGGAUUAGAUACCCCCGUAGUCC
RNAcentral lists this ribosomal RNA (446 nucleotides) under uncultured bacterium. RNAcentral's name for it is "bacterial SSU rRNA". It matches the Rfam family "Bacterial small subunit ribosomal RNA", at positions 355 to 796 of the family's 1533-position model. The record is from RNAcentral.